This is a ribosomal RNA of Sinocyclocheilus anshuiensis, 117 nucleotides long. The record is from Ensembl. Lineage: Eukaryota; Metazoa; Chordata; Actinopteri; Cypriniformes; Cyprinidae.
UAUCACAGCCAUAUCACCCUGCAGCCCGAGACUGGUUGCCCACUGAAGCUAAGCAGGGUUGAGCCUGGUCAGUACCUGGAUGGGAGACCUCCUGGGAAAGCUAGGUUGCUGUUGGAA